RNAcentral lists this ribosomal RNA (844 nucleotides) under uncultured bacterium. Its description in RNAcentral is "bacterial SSU rRNA". It matches the Rfam family "Bacterial small subunit ribosomal RNA", at positions 29 to 916 of the family's 1533-position model. The record is from RNAcentral.
AAAAACCUGGUGGAGGCCUAACACAUGCAGUCGAGCGCGCCCUUCGGGGUGAGCGGCGGACGGGUUAGUAACGCGUGGGAAUAUACCCGACACUAAGGAAUAGCCUCUGGAAACGGAGAGUAAUACCUUAUACGCCCUUCGGGGGAAAGAUUUAUCGGUGACGGAUUAGCCCGCGUUAGAUUAGAUAGUUGGUGGGGUAAUGGCCUACCAAGUCUACGAUCUAUAGCUGGUUUUAGAGGAUGAUCAGCAACACUGGGACUGAGACACGGCCCAGACUCCUACGGGAGGCAGCAGUGGGGAAUCUUGGACAAUGGGCGCAAGCCUGAUCCAGCCAUGCCGCGUGAGUGAUGAAGGCCUUAGGGUCGUAAAGCUCUUUCGCCAGAGAUGAUAAUGACAGUAUCUGGUAAAGAAACCCCGGCUAACUCCGUGCCAGCAGCCGCGGUAAUACGGAGGGGGUUAGCGUUGUUCGGAAUUACUGGGCGUAAAGCGCGCGUAGGCGGAUUAGUAAGUUAGAGGUGAAGUCCCGGGGCUCAUCCCCGGAACUGCCUUUAAUACUGCUAGUCUUGAGUUCGAGAGAGGUGAGUGGAAUUCCGAGUGUAGAGGUGAAAUUCGUAUAUAUUCGGAGGAACUCCAGUGGCGAACGCGGCUCAGUGUCUCGAUACUGACGCGGAGGUGCUAAAGUGUGGAGAGCAGACAGGAUUACAUACCCUGGUAGUCCACACCGUAGACGAUGAGUGCCAUUCGUCGGGUAGCAUGCUAAUUCGUGCACGCACAUAUGAGGACUAAGCAUUUCUGUCUGGGGAGAACGGACAGCAAGAAUUAUAACCUCGAUUGUACUUGACCG